UUUCCGUAGGUGAACCUGCGGAAGGAUCAUUAUUGAAUGAAACACUUCUGGCUUUAUGCUGUUGUGCUGGCCCUUUGGGCAAUGUGCACACGGCUCUGGUCACUUGUUUCUUCUGUUCCACCUGUGCACUGCCUGUAGACACGCUGUGUCUAUGAUAUUUGUUAACACACAACAAUGUUAGUUGGCAUGUUAUAUAUAAUAAUAAAAUACACAACUUUCAACAACGGAUCUCUUGGCUCUC
Molecule: unclassified non-coding RNA, 241 nt
Filed under: plant metagenome
Description: partial contains small subunit ribosomal RNA, internal transcribed spacer 1, and 5.8S ribosomal RNA
Source: RNAcentral